Poecilia latipinna (sailfin molly) is the source of this 1490-nucleotide long non-coding RNA. RefSeq lists it as uncharacterized. The transcript is spliced from 3 exons. The record is from RefSeq and is a predicted model, not a curated record. Lineage: Eukaryota; Metazoa; Chordata; Actinopteri; Cyprinodontiformes; Poeciliidae.
GUAUCUUCCUGAAAAGUUACUUGCAAAUUAGUUUAGCGUACUAAGAUAUUAGCACUAGAAGCUACACCAAAAAUACUUGGUAGGAUUUUGUGUUUUUGCAGUGCAGAGCACCAGAGCUGCAUCUGAACACAGUAAUGAUAUUAGGGAGAAAUAAAAAUAAAAAUAAAAAAACAUCUGAACUUGACAGAAGACAAGAUGAAAGUCCACAUGUUUGGGUGAAUUGAGGUGUCUCCUUCUGCAGGGGGUAAUCAUCCAGCAGGCUGAUUCUGCACUGUAAUACAUUAUAUCUAAAGGCAGUAGACUGAUGCAAUUUAUGUCUCAGUGUGUGUGUGUGUGUGUGUGUGUGUGUGUGCUCGGCUGCAGAGCUGUCUGCCGUGGAAGAAGACGGGGAUGAAUAAUAAAUGCAGUCUGAAGUUUAGAUCCAACGUGUGUGGACUACUGAGCAGCGCCGAGGCCUUAUUGCCGCCCUGCCAGGUCUGAGGGGGGAUGGUUCCUUUUUUUUUUUUUUUUUUGGAGUGUUUUUUUGGGGGGGGAUUGGUGUAGGGGUAAUGAAUUGGAAAACAUAUCCUCGCCCCUCCCUCCCUCUUCGCUUUCUUUUCAACCCGCGCGCCGCGCUACAGCCAGCCUGCGGCAAUGCGAGCGCUGCCAUGGCAACGGAGACGUGCCGAGGACCGCAGAGGGGAGGGGGCAGAUCAUCAAUGUCUUUAGAGAGACCCCCCCGCCCCAUCCCCUCACACUUCAAAUCAAACCAAUAGACACAUAAACACACAGCCGCACUCCUCAGAGGAAAUAAAAUAAUUAAACAAAAUAUAAAGAAUCGAAAAUCUGCAGCAGAGGAACUGAAACUCGUUUCCCACAAGAACCGCCAUCUUGAAAACCGUCUGCUUCUUCUGGACUCCAUUUCCCAGAACCACCCGGGACCACGUCUAACACCUGGCAGCGGCGUCGGCCAUUUUCUAAGGUCAGAGCAUCAACUUCCAGACAGGGAGGAACCAGAACCAAGACCGGUUGGGCUGUAAGAAGAUCCGACUAUAUUAAAACAUCACAAUAUUUCUCGUUGACGUUGCUGCUAGCUAGCUGCUACUAGCUAGCUGCUACUAGCUAGCUGCUGCUAGCUAGCUACUGCUAGCAUGGCUUCAUCUGAUGAAAUCCUGAUUGAAAACACAUAAAUCGAUUUUUUUCCUUUUUGCGUUUCCAGCAGGAACAAUAAAUGGCUACAAAAUGAAAGACUAAACUAACAAUAAGCAACACAAGUUGUUCAGAAAGAGGCAGGAAGCAUCGCCAUAGCAACCAGUAGCUGGACAUCUAAGGGCUGUCGUGCGACAUCGUACUGAACCUGAUCAGCAGCAGCUGGGAAACGAUCAGCGCUGCAGAAUGAUCAGUUGGAGAGCAGGUCUUAAACAGAAAGCAGGAAAAAAAACAUCAGUUGGAGCUUGUGGCAAAAAUCCAUAAAAAUGCAGAAUAAAAGCCUUUUUGGAGCAUAAAUCUGA